CAGAAGUUAUCUGAAUAGUUUCUGCCCUUCACUGUUUGUUUGCUUAAAAGAAAAGAGGUUGCAUCUUGUCACGCUCCAGUGCUGGUGGAACAAAGCUGUGAAGGAGAGGAUGCAAGGAAAGGAACUAAGGGUGGACAGACUGAAACAUGACAAAGAGAAGAUGGGGCCUGUCCUCAUUCAGGCUGAUGGAGACGUCUGCGGAACUGAGAUGCACUCGAGAGCAUGUACUGAGAACACCGGCAGGAGGACGGAGCAUGGAAGAGACGAGGAAGCACAAAAAAGAUGAAAACACCCCUGAACAAAGACGGGAAGUAAAACCCACAACAGAGUGAAAGCACAGAGGAUCACAGAAAACAAACAAACAAGAAAUGAGCUAAAAAAUAAAUGAAAAUCACA
Long non-coding RNA from Oreochromis aureus, 396 nucleotides. RefSeq lists it as uncharacterized. The transcript has 3 exons. The record is from RefSeq and is a predicted model, not a curated record. NCBI's taxonomy places the organism in Eukaryota, Metazoa, Chordata, Actinopteri, Cichliformes, Cichlidae.